AGGAAUAUUGGUCAAUGGGCGUAAGCCUGAACCAGCCAAGUCGCGUGAGGGAGGACGGCCCUACGGGUUGUAAACCUCUUUUGCCGGGGGACAAACGGCGGCACGCGUGCCGUCCUGAGGGUACCCGGAGAAAAAGCAUCGGCUAACUCCGUGCCAGCAGCCGCGGUAAUACGGAGGAUGCGAGCGUUAUCCGGAUUUAUUGGGUUUAAAGGGUGCGUAGGCGGGAUGCCAAGUCAGCGGUAAAAAUUCGGGGCUCAACCCCGUCCGGCCGUUGAAACUGGGGGCCUUGAGUGGGCGAGAAGAAGGCGGAAUGCGUGGUGUAGCGGUGAAAUGCAUAGAUAUCACGCAGAACCCCGAUUGCGAAGGCAGCCUUCCGGCGCCCUACUGACGCUGAGGCACGAAAGUGCGGGGAUCGAACAG
RNAcentral lists this ribosomal RNA (420 nucleotides) under uncultured bacterium. Its description in RNAcentral is "bacterial SSU rRNA". It matches the Rfam family "Bacterial small subunit ribosomal RNA", at positions 357 to 775 of the family's 1533-position model. The record is from RNAcentral.